CUGGCCCUCAGGGACCCAAGAACUGUCCUAGAGUGAGGAAGGGGCUGGUUCCAAGACACACCUUCCUCCUGCUUCUUCCAGACUGCGGAUCUGCGGGACGGAGCACACCAGGAAGCAGGAACAGGGCUGUGGUUUUCCCAGGUCAUCAUGUGCCCUGCCCUUUACCCAACCUGCUCCGGAGGAAAACGCUGAAAGCCCCUCUAUCAGUCGUACCAAGGUCUCCAUCGUGCAGGUUCAGCCCCUGUGGGAGGAAGGAGAGAUUGGCGAAGUGCCUACUGUGCAUCAGGCACCUAACUCAAGACCUGCAGAGGUGGGUGACAUUAUUCCUGUACUACAAAUAGGGAAGCCAAGGCCCAGAGGUUGCAUUACAGAGCUGACGUUUACAGAGCAGGCCAGGAUGGCCUCCCAAGGUUCCAGAGUUUGCAACCUGUUAGAGAAAACAUCAAGGUAAGAGAACAAUACUGUCUAGUUUUGGACUUCCUGCUGAGCGGGGCAUGGAGAGGGCACUGAGACGGGAUGCUCGGAGGGACAGCAACUGGAUAAAACAGUGUGAACCCUGAGGCCAGGGGACAGGUCAGCAUUGUCAGUGAUGGCUCUGAGGCCUAGACCUGGUGUCGCAAUCUGUUUUCUGUUGCUUCAGGAGAGUAUGU
This is a long non-coding RNA of Octodon degus (degu), 650 nucleotides long. RefSeq lists it as uncharacterized. The transcript is spliced from 3 exons. The record is from RefSeq and is a predicted model, not a curated record. Lineage: Eukaryota; Metazoa; Chordata; Mammalia; Rodentia; Octodontidae.